Molecule: long non-coding RNA, 351 nt
Organism: Gymnodraco acuticeps
Lineage: Eukaryota; Metazoa; Chordata; Actinopteri; Perciformes; Bathydraconidae
Exons: 2
Source: RefSeq, a predicted model, not a curated record
UCUUACGUGUUUGUUGUGUUGAUGCCUGGUGGAGUAUUCUUCAUUGAAAUAUCGCACUUAUCUUAUGGCUCUGCGGUUCAAACAGACCGUCCAUGAAUGCAGUUUAUUCGUGUGGAUCAAUUGAGACAGCGUGCAGAGACUUUGGGAGAAACCUCAGCAUGACGGAUGUCCUGUCUGUGGGUUUGGCUGGAGAGGACUGAGGUGGAGAGGUCUUUCUUUGGGAGGAGGCCCAGGCCUGAUGAAGAAACCCCCUAACUGCAUCUGUGAGCACAUACUGGGCUCAGCUGUCACAAACAAAUGAUGGUCCUGUUUGACUUUGUGUUCACAAUAAAAGUGUAGUUUCUUAGUGAA